CAGAAGCAAGACAAAAAGGGGGAAAACCCUAGUUUUCAAGGAUUCUCAAGAUUAAGAAGAAAUUGAGAGCCCAAAUCAAUGCUAGAACCCGAAUUGUCAACCAUCUAAGCUCGAACAUCAAUAGGCGUGAAGGAAGAAAGCUCGAACACUAGUAAAGCGGGAGGUGUACAAGAUCGAGGUAAAACUCCGCUAUAGGCGAUUUGGGAAUAUGGAGCGAGCACAUGAUCAAGCCUUAUUAUACCAAACGCUUCCGCUAGUUUUUUAUACAUGCUUUGGGUCCAUGUUUUGUUACUUUGUUAGAAGUCUUACACUUGAAAACUUGUUGUUUUGUUUGGGUAGUUUAAAGCUAGUAGGGUCGUAGGUGAAUAUUGUCUAUUAUGUCAAAAACAGGGGGCAUGUCCGUUUUACAAACGGGUCAUGCCCAAAUUUUGUAAAAAUUUUUAGUUUGUGUCAA
This is a long non-coding RNA of Helianthus annuus (common sunflower), 454 nucleotides long. RefSeq lists it as uncharacterized. The transcript has 3 exons. The record is from RefSeq and is a predicted model, not a curated record. Lineage: Eukaryota; Viridiplantae; Streptophyta; Magnoliopsida; Asterales; Asteraceae.